This 75-nucleotide transfer RNA is filed under the name Chloroflexota bacterium. Its description in RNAcentral is "Chloroflexi bacterium (groundwater metagenome) tRNA-Thr". It matches the Rfam family "tRNA". From Rfam's summary of the family: Transfer RNA (tRNA) molecules are approximately 80 nucleotides in length. Their secondary structure includes four short double-helical elements and three loops (D, anti-codon, and T loops). Further hydrogen bonds mediate the characteristic L-shaped molecular structure. tRNAs have two regions of fundamental functional importance: the anti-codon, which is responsible for specific mRNA codon recognition, and the 3' end, to which the tRNAs corresponding amino acid is attached (by aminoacyl-tRNA synthetases). tRNAs cope with the degeneracy of the genetic code in two manners: having more than one tRNA (with a specific anti-codon) for a particular amino acid; and 'wobble' base-pairing, i.e. permitting non-standard base-pairing at the 3rd anti-codon position. The record is from RNAcentral. Lineage: Bacteria; Bacillati; Chloroflexota.
GCCGGUGUAGCUCAGCGGCAGAGCAAGUGUUUCGUAAACACUAGGCCGUGGGUUCGAGUCCCUCCACCGGCUCCA